GAGUUUGAUUAUGGCUCAGGACGAACGCUGGCGGCGUGCGUAACACAUGCAAGUUGAACGACGGUGUCGUGAAGUGGUAACACGGAAUGGCAUACGGAGUAGCGGACGGGUGAGUACAACAUGAGAAGCUGUCCAAUAGUGGGGGAUAACGUUCGGAAACGGACCCUAAUACCCCAUAGGCCUUUUGGUUAAAGCAGCGAUGCGCUAUUGGAGGUGCUCGUGUCCUAUCAGCUGGUUGGUGAGGUAACGGCUCACCAAGGCGACGACGGGUAGCCGGCCUGAGAGGGUGUCCGGCCACACUGGAACUGAGAUACGGUCCAGACUCCUACGGGAGGCAGCACGUGGGGAAUAUUGGGCAAUGGGAGAAAUCCUGACCCAGCGACGCCGCGUGAACGAAGAAGGCCUUCGGGUCGUAAAGUUCUUUUAUGUGGGAAGAAGGAAGUGA
RNAcentral lists this ribosomal RNA (445 nucleotides) under Synergistales bacterium canine oral taxon 178. Its description in RNAcentral is "bacterial SSU rRNA". It matches the Rfam family "Bacterial small subunit ribosomal RNA", at positions 9 to 457 of the family's 1533-position model. Lineage: Bacteria; Thermotogati; Synergistota; Synergistia; Synergistales. The record is from RNAcentral.